UAAAAUAAUGAAAUUAAUCUAGAAAAGUACUAAUAAUAAAUAUAUUCUAUAUUUUGGAUAGGAUAUUUAUAAUAUAAGAUAAUUUAAUAAUUUUUAUUAAAUUUGAAGAGUAAUUUUAAUAUUGAUAAUUUUAAAGAAUUUUUAUACAAUAAGUGGUGGACAGCAUGACACUUAGGGCGUGUUUGGUUCGAAGUCGGAAUCGGAAUCAGAAUCGGAAUCGAAAUAAGCUGGAAUCGGAAUUGAAAUGACUCAUUACCUAAUUCUGUUUGGUUCAUCACCUGAAUCGGAAUCGGAAUAAAUCAUUCCCAUUGUCGGUGUUUGGUUCAGGUAAAUAUAAAAAACGUAAUCAGGUGAAUAUACUAAUCUUAUCUUUAUAAUAUAUUAAUUUAAAUUCAAAUUAAAAAUUAAAUAUUAAAAAUUUACAUCAAUAUUUUGAAAUAAUGUCAAAAUUUUAAAUCUAUUUUUUAAAAAAAAUUAAAAUUAAAAGUUUAGUGGAUAAUUCAAAAUAUAAAACUAAAUUUUGAUUUAUUCAAAUUCGAACUUAAAAUUACAAUUUAAAUUUUAAUUUGAAUCCAUAAAUUUAAUUUAAGUUUUAAAUAAAAUUUGAAUAAAACUUUAUAUAAAUUAAAAUUUAAUUUAAAUUCAAAUUCGUAAGUUAAAUUUGAAAUACUUGAUUAAAUUUUAAUUUUUAAUUCAUGUUGAAAUUAAAAUUUAAAAUUUAAAAUUUAAUUUCUAAAUUUAAAUUUAUAUUUUAAUUAAAAAACUUGAAAUAAUAAAUUUAAUUCGAAUAAAUAUCCAUUUCGUCCGGAUUCAACUUCCAAUCUGGCCUCCUAGACCGUAUUGAAAAAAGAGGUGAUUGGGGGAUUCCUAUUCCACUCGGGAAUCAGAAUCGGAAUGGGACUCCAGUGUACCAAACACUCACAAAUGGAUUCACCCAUUUCAAUUCCGAUUUCAGAAUGAAAAAAAAGCGAACCAAACAUGCCCGUAAUGUUUUGUUUAUUUUUAAUUCUUUUGCAUCUGUUUAAAGCGAGAAUUUUAAGUGCCUAUCGUUAAGAGCUCAAAACCUUUUUUUAAAUUAAUAAAUAAUUUUUUAAAUAAAAUUUUAAAAAAUAAAUAUUAUAUAUUAUUAUGUGUUGGUAUAUAUGUAUUUUUUAUGAUUGAUAUUGUAACACACUGGACCUUUGCAAAUUGCGAGGUUCGAGUGUUUGGAUGUAU
This 1215-nucleotide long non-coding RNA is filed under the name Ananas comosus (pineapple). RNAcentral describes it as "long non-coding RNA (ACOM_LNC026136)". Lineage: Eukaryota; Viridiplantae; Streptophyta; Magnoliopsida; Poales; Bromeliaceae. The record is from RNAcentral.